GACCCCGUAGCUCAGCAGGAUAGAGCAUCAGAUUCCUAAUCUGAGGGCCGGGGGUUCGAAUCCCGCCGGGGUCACCA
This 77-nucleotide transfer RNA is filed under the name Paracoccaceae bacterium. Its description in RNAcentral is "Rhodobacteraceae bacterium (activated sludge metagenome) tRNA-Arg". It matches the Rfam family "tRNA". From Rfam's summary of the family: Transfer RNA (tRNA) molecules are approximately 80 nucleotides in length. The record is from RNAcentral. Lineage: Bacteria; Pseudomonadati; Pseudomonadota; Alphaproteobacteria; Rhodobacterales; Paracoccaceae.